AACCGCCGGCGGCUGUGCGCGGUUCCCCUCCCCAGCGUGGCGCUCUUCAGCAUCUCCGCCCACCCCGAGGGCGCCGGCCUCCACAACGUCUUCAGCUCAUCCCGGACAGUGAGGUGAGUAGUCUCCAACAGCGGGCGCCAGAUGGUGGCUUCUUUGGGGGCAAGCUCCCAGUGCAUGCUCAUAGGUGAAAAAUACUUGGGGAUCAGUAUUUGCUGUUUUUCCAAGGUGGAAUCAUCAUAUAUCCUCCUUUGUUAGUUUUCUGUUAUGCUUCCGAGUUGUAUGACUAGAUCAUUAGUAACAGAUUCUGUAAGUUGUUCUGUAUGCAAGAUGGUGGCAGAGUGAGUAUGCUCUUUCAGAUUUUGCCUCUUGCAUGCAAGAUGGAUCGGCAUUCUGGCUUAAUCUUUGAUAUCUGUUGUUGUUGGUUCUUUUCGAAAUGGAACUUCAGUAUCACACAAUGCAGUAAGACCCGAUGGACCACCGUCCUGGUCCUUUCAAAAUUGUGAUGGUGGAUCACACAGGAAGUUGCUCUGCAUUGGGAAAAGGAAGAAGCAAGAGCUAGGGUGCCCUCUCCGCUCCUGCUUGGCGUGUUAAAUGGAGUUGCAGGUCUCACUUGAAUGAAACAUUGGUUUGAUAUUCAUAUCUCAUUGUCGGGUUCAUUGACUACAAGCUCUCUGCCUCUCAUUGCACCUGCUGAUUAUGGUCUUGCAAGUUUAAAAUGCAUGCUGGCUUGCUGAGUAAUAGUGCAGUGAAAUGAAUUCCUUGAGAUUAUAUGUUCUGGAAUUUAUGGAGUGCUGUAAUAUUGUAGUUCUUAUGUGACAAGGAUAAAUAGUUUCUCAACAUAUGAUGUAAGAGCCCUUCUGGUUAUAGUAAACACGAUUCAGUAAAAAUAGUGGCCCUUCAUUCCUGAACUUUUCUCUGGAUGCAGGUGCUAGAUAUACUCUAAUUGAUAGUGCAUAUUUAUUUUAGAAUCCGAAGAUAGUUGUCGUGGCACACUUCAUGUCUGCAAGUUUACUAAAGGCAGUAAGAUUACCUUAUUGUCACCACAACGGAAGUGAAUCCUCGCCAACAGAUCUGACACCUCCUGUUUGGUAGUAGAAUAGCGUCAUAGGCUUAGUGAGCUGGACAUGUCCAUUCAAUCAUUUCAUUUUAGUAUACAUGCAAUUAUCUAUUCCUCAUUACAAAAGGAACUGAUCAAAUUGAUGAUUUUGGCAGUAGCUAUUUCUUUAAGUGAUGGAUGCAUGGCAUAGUUACUAUUUACAAAAUCAUUCACUACAAUAUCCUGUUCGUAAUAAUUUUGUCCUAAUACGCUGGGCUGAAUGCACCUACUUUCACUCUUUAUAACAAGGGUGGUCUGAAGUCUCUACUUGACUACUCGAUGCAAGUUUCGGUUACUGUUUACAAUCAUUCAGUAAUAUUUCAAUAUCCCGUUCAUAGGGAUUUUGUCCUAAUACUCUUGACUGAAUGCAGCUGCUUUUGCUCUUUACAGCCACAACAACCAACGUGGCAAUUUGCAAAUCUGAUUGCAUGAAUUAUGAGGAUGAUCCUGUUGUACACAUGUUAAUUGGAUCGAAUUGACGUUCGUGACGUACAUCGGAGCUUAUAGAAGAAGACAUCAGCCAGCAGGGUUGGGAGUGAUAUGUUAUGGAUUAUGGGAGUGAUAUGAAUGCCCGGCAACAAUCUUUGUUUCUCCAUGACUCUGGUUGGGAAGUUGUGAGUGUGUAUAUCACCAUGUUAUAUGUGCCACACCAUCAUUAUUUAUGAAAUUGGCAUCUUUCCUAUUUAGAAAAGAUGUGCUCUUUCUGCAAACUAGAUUCUGUUCAACUAUGUAUUCAUCAAGGCAGUAAGCUUCACUUUCUCCCUAAGGUAUGUGGGUUUCCCUUAUAGAGCUGUUAUCUCCAGAGAACAUUCCGUGGAUAGAGAAAGGGGUUUAUGAGAUUGACAAUUGCAUGUUUAGACUAUCCAACCUAGCAGGGAUAGAAGUUUGAAUACUCUGGACUUGUAUUUUUUUUUUUGGUUAGGAACAACACUAGCAUAGUAAUUAAUGUCGAUAGUCCAAAAAUAAUGUUGACAUAGUGAAUGGCUUGCGUCAUAUGAGAAAUUUAUUUGGUAACUACAUCGUCGUGCCACAUGGAUUGGAUGUCAACGGUAGUCAUCUCACCCAGUACACCUUUUGCAAUAAUAAUCACAGCAAAUCAAAAUUUUGUUGUGCUGUCUAUGUAUCUAACUGGCUGUGAUCGGAGUUAGAUCAUUUUCUGGUAGAAGGAAAGACAUGAUCUUAUCGGUAACUUUAGGCAGUAGGAAUCAUUGGAUCAUUUUGCAUUAAUGAUGUUAGCUUUUGGGGAGGCAAUUGUUUUGCAGUGCAUCCCUUUCCUAAGCAGAGCGAAAUUUAUCUGACAUGUAAUGCAUUCAGAUUGUGGUGUUGCUUACAUUUUCAGCUUGUAGCCGAGGACUGGAAUAGGCUGAGAAUCCUGAGCCGCGGAGGAAAGCGGGUUAAUUAGAUACACCAAGACUGCAACUGUUAUCUAUGGAUGAAAUAACCAAACUAACUCGCAAGAAAAUAGUCUCCAUGGUCUGAAUGUCCAAACAGCGACCACAUAUAUGCUUUUGCUCUUAUUGGCAGGGCUUCAGGAGACAGGAGCCUUGAUGCGCUGAAGAGAGGGGCUGUGCUGCUGAGGACCAAUUCUGUGGAUCUGAUGUGAGUCUGUGGAGAUGCUGCUAGCGACAACCCUACGGUAACGAAGUGAAGGUUUUGCUGUUGCUGCAUUUGGCUCGGUCUGUGUGUCUUGGGGGUGUCCUUUGCGAUCAUCCUGGUUACCUUUCCGUAUGUAAUGAAGUGGUUGUGAUACUGUGGUUCCAGUUAUGCCUUUUGCCUUUCCAGCUAUACUGUGAUUUUAUUUUUUUUGGCGAAACAGUUAUACUGUGAUUAGAGCUUUGACAUAUGUAGGGGGCUGGUAGGAUCUCCUCGGUCUUGCUGAAGUGCGCUUGUGUUGUUGUUGUCAAGCCCGAGGGCCUGACCUUCUUUCUAUUUUUUCUGUUACCUGCUGCCCCUCCUGUAUGAGGUGGAGUUUUGUUCAGUUCUGUGGUCAUUAGCAUGUGUGCUUCGAUGAAAAGAAAACCAUGCGUAGAUGUUGGCUGGGGUGAAUCUAUGUCGUGAUUAUUUUUAUUAAUUUGAGAAAUUUGAAUUCUAGUCGCCGGCCUCGCUCCUCGCAGCAGCAUCACCCCGUUUGCAACUUCGCCCUCACUGCUCGC
Triticum aestivum (bread wheat) is the source of this 3249-nucleotide long non-coding RNA. RefSeq lists it as uncharacterized. Lineage: Eukaryota; Viridiplantae; Streptophyta; Magnoliopsida; Poales; Poaceae. The record is from RefSeq and is a predicted model, not a curated record. The transcript is spliced from 3 exons.